UUGCUAAUAUUGUCAGCUAAGUGGCGGACGGGUGAGUAAUAUAUGGUUAGUCUGCCCCAAAGAAGAGAAUAAUUGUUGGAAACGACUUGUAACGCUCUAUAUGCCUUUAUUACAUAAGUAAGCAAGGGAAACAUUUGUGGCUUUGGGAUGAGACUGUACGGUAUCAGCUAGUUGGUGAGGUAAUGGCUCACCAAGGCAAUGACAUCUAACUGGUUUGAGAGGAUGAUCAGUCACACUGGAACUGAGACACGGUCCAGACUCCUACGGGAGGCAGCAGUGGGGAAUAUUGCACAAUGGAGGAAACUCUGAUGCAGCGACGCCGCGUGGAGGAUGACACAUUUCGGUGCGUAAACUCCUUUUAUAUGAGAAGAUAAUGACGGUAUCAUAUGAAUAAGCACCGGCUAACUCCGUGCCAGCAGCCGCGGUAAUACGGGGGGUGCAAGCGUUACUCGGAAUCACUGGGCGUAAAGAGCAUGUAGGCGGGUUUGUAAGUUGGAGGUGAAAUCCUAUGGCUUAACCAUAGAGCUGCUUCCAAAACUGCAGACCUAGAAUAUGGGAGAGGUAGAUGGAAUUUCUGGUGUAGGGGUAAAAUCCGUAGAGAUCAGAAGGAAUACCGAUUGC
Molecule: ribosomal RNA, 621 nt
Filed under: uncultured Arcobacter sp.
Lineage: Bacteria; Pseudomonadati; Campylobacterota; Epsilonproteobacteria; Campylobacterales; Arcobacteraceae
Description: bacterial SSU rRNA
Rfam family: Bacterial small subunit ribosomal RNA
Source: RNAcentral